This 73-nucleotide transfer RNA is filed under the name Stegodyphus mimosarum. It matches the Rfam family "tRNA". From Rfam's summary of the family: Transfer RNA (tRNA) molecules are approximately 80 nucleotides in length. Their secondary structure includes four short double-helical elements and three loops (D, anti-codon, and T loops). Lineage: Eukaryota; Metazoa; Arthropoda; Arachnida; Araneae; Eresidae. The record is from Rfam by way of RNAcentral.
GUCUUCGUGGUGUAGUGGUCAGCACGCUCGACGCGUAUUCGAGAGGUCCGUGGUUCGAGUCCCGGUGAAGGCA